UACGUAGGUGGCAAGCGUUGUCCGGAUUUAUUGGGCGUAAAGCGAGCGCAGGCGGAUUUUUAAGUGGGAUGUGAAAUACCCGGGCUUAACCUGGGUGCUGCAUUCCAAACUGGAAGUCUAGAGUACAGGAGGGGAAAGUGGAAUUCCUAGUGUAGCGGUGAAAUGCGUAGAGAUUAGGAAGAACACCGGUGGCGAAGGCGACUUUCUGGACUGUAACUGACGCUGAGGCUCGAAAGCGUGGGGAGCAAAC
This 250-nucleotide ribosomal RNA is filed under the name uncultured bacterium. RNAcentral's name for it is "partial 16S ribosomal RNA". It matches the Rfam family "Bacterial small subunit ribosomal RNA", at positions 524 to 773 of the family's 1533-position model. The record is from RNAcentral.